RNAcentral lists this ribosomal RNA (314 nucleotides) under Salmonella enterica. RNAcentral describes it as "bacterial SSU rRNA". It matches the Rfam family "Bacterial small subunit ribosomal RNA", at positions 110 to 427 of the family's 1533-position model. RNAcentral also lists the same sequence under 1 other name. The record is from RNAcentral. Lineage: Bacteria; Pseudomonadati; Pseudomonadota; Gammaproteobacteria; Enterobacterales; Enterobacteriaceae.
GUAAUGUCUGGGAAACUGCCUGAUGGAGGGGGAUAACUACUGGAAACGGUGGCUAAUACCGCAUAACGUCGCAAGACCAAAGAGGGGGACCUUCGGGCCUCUUGCCAUCAGAUGUGCCCAGAUGGGAUUAGCUUGUUGGUGAGGUAACGGCUCACCAAGGCGACGAUCCCUAGCUGGUCUGAGAGGAUGACCAGCCACACUGGAACUGAGACACGGUCCAGACUCCUACGGGAGGCAGCAGUGGGGAAUAUUGCACAAUGGGCGCAAGCCUGAUGCAGCCAUGCCGCGUGUAUGAAGAAGGCCUUCGGGUUGUA